This 700-nucleotide ribosomal RNA is filed under the name uncultured bacterium. RNAcentral's name for it is "bacterial SSU rRNA". It matches the Rfam family "Bacterial small subunit ribosomal RNA", at positions 8 to 703 of the family's 1533-position model. The record is from RNAcentral.
AGAGUUUGAUCAUGGCUCAGAUUGAACGCUGGCGGCAUGCCUUACACAUGCAAGUCGAGCGGCAGCGCGGGGGCAACCCUGGCGGCGAGCGGCGAACGGGUGAGUAGUGCAUCGGAACGUGUCCUCUUGUGGGGGAUAACCAGUCGAAAGACUGGCUAAUACCGCAUGAGCUCGAGAGAGGAAAGCGGGGGACCGCAAGGCCUCGCGCGAGAGGAGCGGCCGAUGCCGGAUUAGCUAGUUGGUGGGGUAAAAGCCUACCAAGGCGACGAUCCGUAGCUGGUCUGAGAGGACGACCAGCCACACUGGGACUGAGACACGGCCCAGACUCCUACGGGAGGCAGCAGUGGGGAAUUUUGGACAAUGGGGGCAACCCUGAUCCAGCCAUGCCGCGUGUGUGAAGAAGGCCUUCGGGUUGUAAAGCACUUUCGGACGGAACGAAAUCGCGCGGGUUAACAGCCCGCGUGGAUGACGGUACCGUAAGAAGAAGCACCGGCUAACUACGUGCCAGCAGCCGCGGUAAUACGUAGGGUGCGAGCGUUAAUCGGAAUUACUGGGCGUAAAGUGUGCGUAGGCGGCGUCGCAAGUCGAGUGUGAAAGCCCCGGGCUUAACUUGGGAAUUGCGCUCGAAACUACGGUGCUCGAGUGUGGCAGAGGGAGGUGGAAUUCCACGUGUAGCGGUGAAAUGCGUAGAGAUGUGGAG